RNAcentral lists this ribosomal RNA (506 nucleotides) under uncultured bacterium. RNAcentral's name for it is "partial 16S ribosomal RNA". It matches the Rfam family "Bacterial small subunit ribosomal RNA", at positions 28 to 523 of the family's 1533-position model. The record is from RNAcentral.
GAUGAACGCUGGCGGCAUGCCUUACACAUGCAAGUCGAACGGCAGCAUGGAAGAGCUUGCUCUUCUGAUGGCGAGUGGCGAACGGGUGAGUAAAGCAUCGGAACGUACCGUGUAGUGGGGGAUAACGUAGCGAAAGUUACGCUAAUACCGCAUACGCACUGAGGUGGAAAGCAGGGGAUCGCAAGACCUUGCGCUAUACGAGCGGCCGAUGUCAGAUUAGCUAGUUGGUAGGGUAAAGGCCUACCAAGGCGACGAUCUGUAGCGGGUCUGAGAGGAUGAGCCGACACCCUGGGGCUGAGACACGGCCCAGACUCCUACGGGGGGCAGCAGUGGGGAAUUUUGGACAAUGGGCGAAAGCCUGAUCCAGCCAUGCCGCGUGAGUGAAGAAGGCCUUCGGGUUGUAAAGCUCUUUCGGCUGGGAAAAGAUCGCACAGGCUAAUACUCUGUGUGGAUGACGGUACCAGCACAAGAAGCACCGGCUAACUACGUGCCAGCCGCCGCGGUAA